This is a long non-coding RNA of Lycium barbarum (goji berry), 1817 nucleotides long. RefSeq lists it as uncharacterized. The transcript has 3 exons. The record is from RefSeq and is a predicted model, not a curated record. NCBI's taxonomy places the organism in Eukaryota, Viridiplantae, Streptophyta, Magnoliopsida, Solanales, Solanaceae.
ACUGCCCAUCUUCUCUCUGUCUUAUUUUUUUGAUUUGUUCUGUUUCUCUUUCAUUUCUUCUCCAUUAGUUGGUGUAUAAUAUUUCUUUUGUUGGUGUUGUUUCUUUUGUUACUCUUUUACCGUCUCCAGUCACUUCUUCCAUGCCCACUACCUUGCUUUCUCCAUUCCCCCCUUCUUCUUUUUUUCCUAACUGAUCCUCACUCAAGAUUGAAAUAUAAGUUGCGAAGAAGAAAGAAUUUGCAGCUAAGGUAUUUCAAUGCCUCCCUGUUAUGUGGUUUCUGGGAUAGCAAAGGUUGGCUAUGAAGCUGGGUACUGUAGCUCCCGCACAUUUGAUAUGAUGAAUCAAGCAACACUUUGGAUUUUGAAGCUCUCAAAUGGAGUUGUGUCAUUAAUCUAUGUGGAGCUAUGUUGCUCGGACCCUUCACUUUUGCUGCUGCAGCCGUGUCCAACACCGACACCGGAUUCGUGUCGGAUUUGGUCAAACGACAUUGGAUACUUUGACCAAAUCCAUGGACCAAUUUGAGAAAACAUUUGAGGCCAAAUUGAAAGAAACGGAGAGCUCUUGAAGAGUGGACACUUAUUGUAUCUAGAAGAGUUUCAAGUUAAUUAAAAAUUAAUAUUUAAUUAUAAAUGAAACAUAACUAAAAAAAUAUUUUUGUUUUUUAUUUCUAGGCAUAGAUUAAGUUAUUUUUCUUAUAAUUUUGAAUUAUUUUAGCCGAAUCCCUGCACCCGUAUCCGCACCUGGAUCCGUACCACCGAAUCUUAAAAUUUAGAUUAUGCCGAAUCUGACCUCUAGAUCCGUACCCGUAUCCGACACUCGACACUGAGUCCGAGCAACAUAGAUGUGGAGAAACCAAAAACUAUUGCCUCGCGAUGAGAUAGAGCAUGUAAAUGAGCUGCCAAAGUUGGAAAGGGAUUGUCAAAAGGAUGACGAGGCGCAAAAAUUGGCUCUUUAAAACUUGCUAAAACCUGAAGCUCUUGAAUCUUUUUUAUAUCUUUCCUCCUAAGUAGCAGUAGAUCUUUUCAUAUUCGUUUAAGGCUCUUCAUUCCUGAUACUGGCUACUGAAAUAAAUUACUUCUAUUGCAAUCGCUUGCUGGUUAUUUGAGUUUUAUGGAACUCAAUUCAUUUUAACAUUGUCUAUAUGAAUUACGUCUGUUCCUCUCUUUAAAAUUGAAGGUAUUGAGAGUGGUAAAUCAAACUUGUUAGAACCUAUACCUCACGAUCUUUUCUGCCACUAAGGCCAUCGCCGUACCAUGUAUAUGAGGACCCAAGAUUUGAGAAUAGUGGGGGCACUACUGUUCCGUGGCUACAAAAAUGUCAAGGAAAACAUUUUUUUCUAGCACCGGUAAUCAAACUUGAGUUGAUUACGUGGUACAAGGGAAGAGUAUAGUAUUUCUGUUAUCAUUAAUAGGUUGGAGAGGUCUCUCACGCAGGUUCUAAUACCUUUCUCAAGAAGUUUAGAAGGAAACUAAAGAGGAAGCUCAUUAUAACACAUCGGGGUAAAUGAUCGAUCUUCCAAGUGAAGGCUAAGUCUGUCUCAUGGAAGAUGAGAGUAUUUUACUUCUCUUGAUGGCUGGUCAAAUAAUAAUACUAUUCUGAACAUGCCCGAUAAUUGGUCUUGAACUGAUAAUGUUGCCAUAAGUUCACUCUCUUUAAGAAGACAUGUGAAAGCUUCUUUUGGUUUCACAAAUGAAAUUUAAAAGAAAGUGAAGGGGGUACAUAGUUAAGCUUGGUUAAGGCAUGCCUUUAUGUUCUAAUAAUAAUUCUGGUCAUCAUGCAUUAUUGCAGAUGCAAUGCAAACAUGAUUUAUUUAAUC